AGUCUGCGUACCUACAUGUUUGUUUAUUUCCCCAUCCGAAUGUGAAGUGCAGAAAUCAGUGUAAUAGGGCAACAAGUAGCCUCGGAGUUUUCCAAGGGGGUUUCACCCCGAUAAAACAUAACGCCCGCCCUCUGCUGAUUCCGGUGUUUGAUACCCAAGGCAGAAACUCCAAGGAUCCUGAGCACCAGUGCACAUGACUAUGCAUACUUAAAGCAAGCGCUCAUUCCGGACGGCUUGUGAGAGCGCUGAGUAGUUCUGAGCAGCUCAAACGCUAGGCAAGACAUCCCUCCAAGGAGGCUGUCACAGUGGAGGGGUAAUCAAAGGAUGGCAUUAUGCUAAACCACUGCAAACCAUACAAGAGUGUUAGGAAGAAACCUUUGCCAAAACCAGUAUACAGCAGAGUCUGGGACGUGAAUGAAGGCUGACUGUAUGAGGCUCACUCUUGACAAAAUGGAAUUAAUACUGGUGGGUUGAGAAAAGCAACUGGAAGAUAUAGACAUCUCGGCCCCUUUGAUAGAAAAAUGGGAAAUUCAGACUCACGGUGGUUAGAAUCACUAGGGAGACAAGGUGGG
Chelonoidis abingdonii (Abingdon island giant tortoise) is the source of this 572-nucleotide non-coding RNA. NCBI's taxonomy places the organism in Eukaryota, Metazoa, Chordata, Testudines, Testudinidae. The record is from RefSeq and is a predicted model, not a curated record.